Molecule: ribosomal RNA, 861 nt
Filed under: Limosilactobacillus reuteri
Lineage: Bacteria; Bacillati; Bacillota; Bacilli; Lactobacillales; Lactobacillaceae
Description: bacterial SSU rRNA
Rfam family: Bacterial small subunit ribosomal RNA
Source: RNAcentral
UAUGAGAGUUUGAUCCUGGCUCAGGAUGAACGCCGGCGGUGUGCCUAAUACAUGCAAGUCGUACGCACUGGCCCAACUGAUUGAUGGUGCUUGCACCUGAUUGACGAUGGAUUACCAGUGAGUGGCGGACGGGUGAGUAACACGUAGGUAACCUGCCCCGGAGUGGGGGAUAACAUUUGGAAACAGAUGCUAAUACCGCAUAACAACAAAAGCCACAUGGCUUUUGUUUGAAAGAUGGCUUCGGCUAUCACUCUGGGAUGGACCUGCGGUGCAUUAGCUAGUUGGUAAGGUAACGGCUUACCAAGGCGAUGAUGCAUAGCCGAGUUGAGAGACUGAUCGGCCACAAUGGAACUGAGACACGGUCCAUACUCCUACGGGAGGCAGCAGUAGGGAAUCUUCCACAAUGGGCGCAAGCCUGAUGGAGCAACACCGCGUGAGUGAAGAAGGGUUUCGGCUCGUAAAGCUCUGUUGUUGGAGAAGAACGUGCGUGAGAGUAACUGUUCACGCAGUGACGGUAUCCAACCAGAAAGUCACGGCUAACUACGUGCCAGCAGCCGCGGUAAUACGUAGGUGGCAAGCGUUAUCCGGAUUUAUUGGGCGUAAAGCGAGCGCGGGCGGUUGCUUAGGUCUGAUGUGAAAGCCUUCGGCUUAACCGAAGAAGUGCAUCGGAAACCGGGCGACUUGAGUGCAGAAGAGGACAGUGGAACUCCAUGUGUAGCGGUGGAAUGCGUAGAUAUAUGGAAGAACACCAGUGGCGAAGGCGGCUGUCUGGUCUGCAACUGACGCUGAGGCUCGAAAGCAUGGGUAGCGAACAGGAUUAGAUACCCUGGUAGUCCAUGCCGUAAACGAUGAGUGCUAGGU